RNAcentral lists this ribosomal RNA (479 nucleotides) under uncultured bacterium. RNAcentral describes it as "partial 16S ribosomal RNA". It matches the Rfam family "Bacterial small subunit ribosomal RNA", at positions 28 to 507 of the family's 1533-position model. The record is from RNAcentral.
GAUGAACGCUGGCGGCGUGCUUAACACAUGCAAGUCGAACGAAGCACUUUAACCUGUUUCUUCGGAUGAAGGUUUUUGUGCCUGAGUGGCGGACGGGUGAGUAACGCGUGGGUAACCUGCCUCAUACAGGGGGAUAACAGCUAGAAAUGACUGCUAAUACCGCAUAAGACCACAGAGCCUCAUGGCUCGGUGGGAAAAACUCCGGUGGUAUGAGAGGGACCCGCGUCUGAUUAGGUAGUUGGUGGGGUAACGGCCUAUCAAGCCAACGAUCAGUAGCCGAGAUGAGAGGGGGACCGGCGACAUUGGGACUGAGAAACGGUAGAAAAUCCUACGGGAGGGAGGAGAGGGGAAUAGAGCAAAAUGGGGGAAGCGCUGAAGCAGCGACGACGGGAAAGCGAAGAAGUAUGGCAGUAAGUAAAGCGCAAGCAACAGGGCAGAAAAUGACGGUACCUGACUAGGAAGCAACGGCUAAAUACGUG